UAAGUGUGUGUAAGUGUUUAUGUGGGCG
Molecule: small RNA, 28 nt
Filed under: Bombyx mori (domestic silkworm)
Lineage: Eukaryota; Metazoa; Arthropoda; Insecta; Lepidoptera; Bombycidae
Description: ovarian small RNA-19447
Source: RNAcentral